GCUAUGAUGUAAAUAAAUAGAGGCUGCUCCAUCAACAGACUGAGGUCAACACUGAGCAGAGCUGCAGCUGACCCACAAUGGACUUGUAGCGGCACUUAAUAAAGCUUGGCUGGAUGGAUGAUAGAAAGUAUUCAGAAUCCCAGUGGUCAAAUCUGGCAUGCGCACACAAGAAUUAGAUGGUCGAGGUGAAGAAGAUAACUGAAAUAUUUCUGGGAAGAUAAACUAUCAAAAAUGCCUGGGAAACCGAACAAUAUCUUCUGAAAGUUGAUAAUUAACAUCCAAUGUUCUGAAUUUUAUA
Molecule: long non-coding RNA, 298 nt
Organism: Lemur catta (Ring-tailed lemur)
Lineage: Eukaryota; Metazoa; Chordata; Mammalia; Primates; Lemuridae
Exons: 3
Source: RefSeq, a predicted model, not a curated record